RNAcentral lists this ribosomal RNA (484 nucleotides) under uncultured bacterium. RNAcentral describes it as "partial 16S ribosomal RNA". It matches the Rfam family "Bacterial small subunit ribosomal RNA", at positions 28 to 507 of the family's 1533-position model. The record is from RNAcentral.
AUUGAACGCUGGCGGCAUGCUUUACACAUGCAAGUCGAACGGCAGCGCGGGCUUCGGCCUGGCGGCGAGUGGCGAACGGGUGAGUAAUGCAUCGGAACGUGCCCAGUCGUGGGGGAUAGCCCGGCGAAAGCCGGAUUAAUACCGCAUCCGACCUGAGGGUGAAAGCGGGGGACCGAAAGGCCUCGCGCUAUUGUAGCGGCCGAUGUCGGAUUAGCUAGUUGGUGGGGUAAAGGCUUACCAAGGCGACGAUCCGUAGCUGGUCUGAGAGGACGACCAGCCACACUGGGACUGAGACACGGCCCAGACUCCUACGGGAGGCAGCAGUGGGGAAUUUUGGACAAUGGGGGCAACCCUGAUCCAGCCAUGCCGCGUGCGGGAAGAAGGCCUUCGGGUUGUAAACCGCUUUUGUUCGGGAAGAAAUCCUCUGGGCUAAUACCCCGGGGGGAUGACGGUACCGGAAGAAUAAGCACCGGCUAACUACGUG